Molecule: long non-coding RNA, 1624 nt
Organism: Coturnix japonica (Japanese quail)
Lineage: Eukaryota; Metazoa; Chordata; Aves; Galliformes; Phasianidae
Source: Ensembl
AAAGGAGCUUUGGCAGAUUAUGAUGUAUGCACAGUCUGCGUGGUCUGCAUGUGCUGCAGAUGUUUGCUAGGAAAAAGGUACUCAGAGGAGCGCUGCUGUAGAGUUACCUGUUUAUGCAGAAACUUCUGGGAUAUAAAGUAUCAGCUUGCCACACCUGAAAAUAUUGACCCUAAUUCAUAUUUUGAGCUGAUGCCCCUCUGAGACAGAGACUCCAAAGGACGUGGAAAAUAUACUUCUUGUUUUGAAUCAGUAAGCCAAUGAGACCAGAAAGCUCCGAAGCACGGUGUGUAACCCUCUGCAGGAGACUGCCUCAGUCUGAUUACAAAGGACCCAUACAUGGAAGUGGGAAGAAAGUACCAAAUGCAGCGUGGGAAACUCCAAUCAGUCCCAGAAGUUGGAAAUGAGUCCUGCAUGUUCAACACCUCUUAACAUCUUCCAGUUACUUGAGGACGUGGAAGAGAUGUAAUUCAAUUGUCCAAUUGAAAAGCAUGUCCUACAUUAUAUUUUUCUUUUGUAAAGGGUUGCACGGGUCAUCUUUGUGAAAGAUCUGUCUCCCGAGGCUUUGUAUACAGCCUGGCCAGCUGACCAGUGCGGAGACCUCUGAGGCCAAAUGCAUGUGGGUUCUGACAGCAGCAGCAGUUGUGCUGACACAACUGGUAUUGAAAUUGAAAGCAGAGCUGCAAUUCAAACCACAUAAAUCCAUCUUUACUUGCUUACCACUGUGCUGAGCUGUAAUGGCAGACAGCUUUGCAGCCAGAGGAGUCAAGCGGAUUGCAUACUUGAGAUGCUAUUCUCUGGCAUGUUGCAAGAAUAUUAUUUAGAGUCAAAGUGAUAAUUUUCAUUAAAAACAGAUAAAUGAACAGUUUAAAUGCAAGAGUGACAAAUCCUGUCUUGUGUGUUCUUUCAGUCUGGUGGGAUAUGAUGGUUGUAUUACUGGCUCUUUUCUUGGCCUUAAGGACAGCACAGUUUACUCCAGGAUCACCAAGAAAAGCUCACAACUAAGGCAAAGGCAGAGCCUUUUAUUUUUAAGAACUAGUGUGUUGAUAUCCGCUGCUGGCAACUGAAGUCUUCACAGCUGUGAUGUAAUCUAGAACACUUUCUUCAGCACUACUCCAGGAAUUGAUAGGAAUGGGAUUUGAGGUACUUUCCACAGACUUAACAUCUCAGAUCAAUGAUCUCAGGUCCUUUCAGACUCAUGUAAAAUUUCUACAAGAACAAAUUGCUUUUCUUAGUGAAACAUGUACAUCUCACCAUCAGUCUAGUCUAGCCAAGGACUGAGAUAUGAUACUUGCUCAGUUGGAAAGAAGAAAUCCACAACCCAGACCACUUGGCUACCAACAUAGUCAGAUUCAUAGGUACUGUUUGAUAAUUACAUAGGUAAGUUAUUCCUGUCAACCCCUCUUGACUGUCCUCAUCUACUUGGUGUAUGAACCAGUUUCCACAGACUGAAAUGUGCAGUGGUCAUCCAGAACAGAGCAGCUCUGUCUCCCUGUGUUCUGAAAGAAGCCGCAUCACAUGAAGCCGGGCUUGCGUUACACAGCACUAAAGAGCGCUGGACUCCAGUGUAGAAAGUUACAGCUCAGUCUCCAGACAGUGAAUAAUAAACUCAAAUCUGACUAGAGCA